This 696-nucleotide transfer RNA is filed under the name uncultured cyanobacterium. RNAcentral describes it as "partial 16S-23S ribosomal RNA intergenic spacer". The stretch from base 340 to 412 matches the Rfam family "tRNA". Lineage: Bacteria; Bacillati; Cyanobacteriota. The record is from RNAcentral.
GAAGGAGACCUACUAAGUUAAUACCUGAGAGCGAAUUGCGAAUAGGGUUUAGCUGUAGUCACCUAAGGUCGUUGAGGGUUUUGUUUUUACUACUGGUUAAGUCCAGACUCUUCCAAAUUAUUCAGGUGUUACGACAUCGGCCGUCUGGCCGAAGUCGAUACGCCGAGACAAACGGGCUAUUAGCUCAGGUGGUUAGAGCGCACCCCUGAUAAGGGUGAGGUCCCUGGUUCGAGUCCAGGAUGGCCCACUUUCGGAAAGUGUGAAGUCAGAAGUAUGAACGAUGAGUAAAAGAGAAAUCUAACUUCAUCCUUCAUCAUUCCUACUUUUUCGUUCAAAUCUGGGGGUAUAGCUCAGCUGGUAGAGCGCCUGCUUUGCAAGCAGGAUGUCAGCGGUUCGAGUCCGCUUACCUCCACCACAACUUACAAGCUACGGUAAAAAAUCAGCAACUAGGGAUGUGAGCAGCUACGGGAAGUAGAGCGUUUAACAUCAUAGAUUGCUGGUCUUUGUAGACUAGCGAGAACCUUGACAACUGCAUAGAAAACUAUAAGAAAGCAAAGGUAGUUCAAAGUCUGUUGCAGGCAUUUGAGAACAAAGAAGCCCAAUGAGCUGAGUAGAUUAGGCGAGUCAGUAGCGAGAGCUAAGGACUUGAAUGAGCUAUUCGGUUGCAUAAGCAAUCGACCUUCUCCUACCAAGGAA